RNAcentral lists this ribosomal RNA (492 nucleotides) under uncultured bacterium. RNAcentral describes it as "partial 16S ribosomal RNA". It matches the Rfam family "Bacterial small subunit ribosomal RNA", at positions 29 to 507 of the family's 1533-position model. The record is from RNAcentral.
AGUGAACGCUGGCGGUAGGCCUAACACAUGCAAGUCGAACGGCAGCACAGUAAGAGCUUGCUCUUACGGGUGGCGAGUGGCGGACGGGUGAGGAAUACAUCGGAAUCUACUUUUUCGUGGGGGAUAACGUAGGGAAACUUACGCUAAUACCGCAUACGACCUACGGGUGAAAGCAGGGGAUCUUCGGACCUUGCGCGAUUGAAUGAGCCGAUGUCGGAUUAGCUAGUUGGCGGGGUAAAGGCCCACCAAGGCGACGUUCCGUAGCUGGUCUGAGAGGAUGAUCAGCCACACUGGAACUGAGACACGGUCCAGACUCCUACGGGAGGCGGCAGUGGGGAAUAUUGGACAAUGGGCGCAAGCCUGAUCCAGCCAUACCGCGUGGGUGAAGAAGGCCUUCGGGUUGUAAAGCCCUUUUGUUGGGAAAGAAAAGCAGCAGGUUAAUACCCCGCUGUUCUGACGGUACCCAAAGAAUAAGCACCGGCUAACUUCGUG